UGUUUUCAUGGUUCAGAAGUCACAGAUUACAGCAUUCUCUUGUGAACCAACUGGAUGUGGCUGGGCCUCAGAGUGCAUUCAGAUACCAUGAUGGUAAUUUGAGUAUUUUUCUGCAAGUAGUAAAUUCUAAGUAAAUAGUUGUUAAAAUGUUUGGAAUAGAUUUGUACUUAAUAACUGUGGUUUUAUCUUAUGUGAAGAACAUACACAUUUUGAUAUUUAGUUGACUUUGUAAUAGAUCAUUGCAAGAACCCAAUUUACACUGUAUAAUGGAUGUUACAAUGGGAGCCUUUUUUUUCUCAUGUUAAUGCAAAUC
This 313-nucleotide long non-coding RNA is filed under the name Bos taurus (domestic cattle). RNAcentral describes it as "long non-coding RNA NONBTAT015008". The record is from RNAcentral. Lineage: Eukaryota; Metazoa; Chordata; Mammalia; Artiodactyla; Bovidae.